CAGCCGCCACGGUAAAACGAAGGGGGCUAGCGUUGUUCGGAUUUACUGGGCGUAAAGCGCACGUAGGCGGAUCAAUCAGUCAGGGGUGAAAUCCCAGAGCUCAACUCUGGAACUGCCUUUGAUACUGUCGAUCUGGAGUAUGGAAGAGGUGAGUGGAAUUCCGAGUGUAGAGGUGAAAUUCGUAGAUAUUCGGAGGAACACCAGUGGCGAAGGCGGCUCACUGGUCCAUUACUGACGCUGAGGUGCGAAAGCGUGGGGAGCAAACAGGAUUAGAUACCCCUGUAGUCCCUGUCUCUUAUAC
This 301-nucleotide ribosomal RNA is filed under the name uncultured bacterium. RNAcentral's name for it is "partial 16S ribosomal RNA". It matches the Rfam family "Bacterial small subunit ribosomal RNA", at positions 509 to 807 of the family's 1533-position model. The record is from RNAcentral.